Molecule: long non-coding RNA, 238 nt
Organism: Pongo pygmaeus (Bornean orangutan)
Lineage: Eukaryota; Metazoa; Chordata; Mammalia; Primates; Hominidae
Exons: 3
Source: RefSeq, a predicted model, not a curated record
AUUCAGAAAUGUGAAGAAUCGAUCCAGAAGUUCCAGUGUUCACCUGGGAAAGGUUCCAAAGGGUCCACCUGGUGUCAGAGGCUGGGAAUUCCAGGACUGGAGAACUGGCAUCUGGUGAGGGCCUUGUUGCUGCAUCAUUCUAUAGUGGAAGGUGGAAGGGCAAGAGAGGACAUGCUGGAGUAUAGUGGCGUAAUCUCAGCUCACAGCAACCUCCGCCUCCCGCGUUCAAGCGAUUCUC